Molecule: long non-coding RNA, 672 nt
Organism: Equus caballus (horse)
Lineage: Eukaryota; Metazoa; Chordata; Mammalia; Perissodactyla; Equidae
Source: RefSeq, a predicted model, not a curated record
GAGUCAUGCCCAGAGUCUGGGACAGGGAAGGGGGGGGGGCUGGCUGGGGCCUUGCUCUAUGGAAAUCCGCUUUACUCACUCUCGUUUCCUGUUCUGGUUCCUUCUUCCAGCUUGCAGAUCCUAUUUGCACGGCAUCACCGGGAAGCCUGUUAGAAACGCAGAGUCUCGGGACUCCGCUCAGAUCUCCUGAAGCAGAAUCUGCAUUCCCACCAGAUUCCCAGGACAUAGGGUCCCUGGGUGGAUCUGAAAAUUAAACUGACAAAGACAGAUUAACAGAAGAAAAGCAUACAAAUCUAUUUAAGAUACAUUUUAUGUGAAAUGCAAGUCUUCAUUAAAAAUUGAAGGUCUGAAGAAACGGUUAGACCCGAGUAUUUUAUGCUGGGUUUGAUGAAGGGGAGACGGUCGUGGAGGAAUGUGAAAGGUCAAGGCCUACGAGCUUAAGAGACUCAACACGCCGUGGAGCCACGUUUCGGAGUAGCACGUCCUGAAGCCAUCACGCCCUGUGUGAAACUUGGAGAAGUUUCACAGCCCAGGAUAGAUUGUCCCUUACCCGUUGAACCAGUCUCUCGGUCCUGGCCAUUUCUAUGGAAAUGAAAGAAAAAGGUUAAUGGUUAGAAUAAACUAUAAACUCAGUUUUUGAGUCCAGAGGGCAGUCAUUGGAGAAGAUUUCUA